Molecule: ribosomal RNA, 601 nt
Filed under: uncultured archaeon
Lineage: Archaea
Description: bacterial SSU rRNA
Rfam family: Archaeal small subunit ribosomal RNA
Source: RNAcentral
UCCCUAUGGGGUGCAGCAGUCGCGAAAACUCCGCAAUGCACGAAAGUGUGACGGGGCUACCCCGAGUGCCAUCCGCUGAGGAUGGCUUUUCUUUGGUAUAACUAGCCAUUGGAAUAAGGAGAGGGCAAGACUGGUGUCAGCCGCCGCGGUAAUACCAGCUCUCCGAGUGGUAGGGAUGAUUAUUGGGCUUAAAGCGUCCGUAGCCGGCUUAGCAAGUCUCCUGUUAAACUCAGCGACCUAAUCGUUGACCCGCGGGAGAUACUACUAGGCUAGGAGGCGGGAGAGGUCGACGGUACUUCUGGGGUAGGGGUGAAAUCCUAUAAUCCCGGGAGGACCACCAGUGGCGAAGGCUGUCGACUAGAACGCGCUCGACGGUGAGGGACGAAAGCUGGGGGAGCGAACCGGAUUAGAUACCCGGGUAGUCCCAGCCGUAAACGAUGCGGGCUAGGUGUUGGGAUGGCUACGUGCCAUUUCAGUGCCGCAGGGAAGCCAUUAAGCCCGCCGCCUGGGGAGUACGGCCGCAAGGCUGAAACUUAAAGGAAUUGGCGGGGGAGCACCACAAGGCGUGAAGCUUGCGGUUCAAUUGGAGUCAACGCCGGGA